This 467-nucleotide ribosomal RNA is filed under the name uncultured bacterium. RNAcentral describes it as "partial 16S ribosomal RNA". It matches the Rfam family "Bacterial small subunit ribosomal RNA", at positions 28 to 507 of the family's 1533-position model. The record is from RNAcentral.
GAUGAACGCUGACAGAAUGCUUAACACAUGCCAGUCAACUUGAAUUUGGGUUUUUAACUUAGGUUUGGGUGGCGGACGGGUGAGUAACGCGUAAAGAACUUGCCUCACAGCUAGGGACAACAUUUGGAAACGAAUGCUAAUACCUAAUAUUAUGAUAAUAGGGCAUCCUAUAAUUAUGAAAGCUAUAAGCGCUGUGAGAGAGCUUUGCGUCCCAUUAGCUAGUUGGAGAGGUAACGGCUCACCAAGGCGAUGAUGGGUAGCCGGUCUGAGAGGGUGAUCGGCCACAAGGGGACUGAGACACGGCCCUUACUCCUACGGGAGGCAGCAGUGGGGAAUAUUGGACAAUGGACCGAGAGUCUGAUCCAGCAAUUCUGUGUGCACGAUGAAGUUUUUCGGAAUGUAAAGUGCUUUCAGUUGGGAAGAAACAAAUGACGGUACCAACAGAAGAAGUGACGGCUAAAUACGUG